CGAAACUUCGACAAACCUGAAAUCAUACGAGGUGCCAUCUUGAAAAUAUGUUUAAUUUGCUGUGGGUUCGCGGAGAAAGUUUUUAGCUUUUCAUUUAAAUAAAUAACCGAAAUAAUCAAUCCCGUUCGAGCGCAGCUUAAUAUUUAGUGGCAAAAACAUGAGGGGUAAUGAAUGCUUAUUUAUUUCAACUACAGCCGGAGUGGCCAGUCAACACAAAAGUCCCCAUUUCAUCGAGACCUUCCAUAGCUGCACGUCGUCAACUACGCAGUCUGAAAAUCAUCUUCCCAUCCGAUCGAUCCACCUUGUUGCGUACCUCGAUUAUUGCAUCUGUCAAAUCACAGACAGGCUUGUGCAGUUCCGAAUUGCGGAACAACUGAUAGAAUCCACUGGCAUCGGUAAGAAACCUAUCCCCGCUUGUUCAACUAUACGAGAAAGAGCCAACAUGAUCAACUUGAAUACCGGAAAUUCCUAGUAAUUUGCAACGGCAUAUACGACAAGUGGCUUUGCCGGUUCCAAUUUCCGAUGAUUACCUGCUUCGACCAGCACGGCCGUCACGUAGAAACGGGAUCGCGUCUUGACCAAGAUGUAUCCAAAGAAGGCGAUGGCUAACCGGUGGAAACGCGGCCUAGAGUAUCGAACAUUCUUCGAUUGGUUCACCAACAAUAAUGAUACGAUCAAGGAUGACAUUGCCGAACUUAUCAAGGACGAUUCGUGGUCAAAUCUGCUCCAGUACAAUCUGCUGCCGGACAUCGAAAUGGAAUCGGAAGCGAAAGAGGACGGUGGUGAAGAAGAUUUCGGUGACGAUGGCGAGGGCAAGGAAGAAGAGCGCGAGAUCGAAGAUGAGGAAGAGAUAGCCUAAGAAGUAGGUUAAUUUUGUGAUAAUUAAAAUCAUUAUGGAUCAACAGUUUAUACUAGUUAAGCUGUCAACGUGGCAUCUGAUGUCUUUCUAGAUCACCGAUUUAUGUGUCGGCUACUCAGAAGAAACCCUGUCUAGACUAGACUGCCGGUGUAUAGGAACUUGUCUGUGAAAUGUGAACUGAAACCUGCGGUGGAACUUUAUUCAGCUAUGUGCAUGAUGGACGCUUACAAUAAAGUAAAGCUGCUAAAAGUACUAAUCUGCUGAAAAGUAUCAUGAAAUAACUAAAAUAACCCUAUAUAGAUUGAGAUAAAAUAAAUUUUUUUUUCGAAUCCUGUGAAAAAAAUUGAAAUAUGUAUAUUAAAAUUUGAAUAAUAAAAAAAAUCAAUAUUUAAAAACUGAAAACAG
Armigeres subalbatus is the source of this 1264-nucleotide long non-coding RNA. RefSeq lists it as uncharacterized. The transcript is spliced from 5 exons. The record is from RefSeq and is a predicted model, not a curated record. NCBI's taxonomy places the organism in Eukaryota, Metazoa, Arthropoda, Insecta, Diptera, Culicidae.